CCUACGGGAGGCAGCAGUAGGGAAUAUUGCUCAAUGGGGGAAACCCUGAAGCAGCAACGCCGCGUGGAGGAUGAAGGUUUUCUGAUUGUAAACUCCUUUUGUUAGAGAAGAUAAUGACGGUAUCUAACGAAUAAGCACCGGCUAACUCCGUUCCAGCCGCCGCGGUAAUACGGAGGGUGCAAGCGUUACUCGGAAUCACUGGGCGUAAGGAGCGCGUAGGCGGGAUAGCAAGUCAGAUGUGAAAUCCUAUGGCUUAACCAUAGAACUGCAUUUGAAACUGUUAUUCUAGAGUAUGGGAGAGGUAGGUGGAAUGCUUGGUGUAGGGGUAAAAUCCGUAGAGAGCAAGAGGAAGACUCAUUGCGAAGGCGACCUGCUAGAACAUAACUGACGCUGAUGCGCGAAAGCGUGGGGAGCAAACAGGAUUAGAUACCCGAGUAGUC
This 440-nucleotide ribosomal RNA is filed under the name uncultured bacterium. RNAcentral's name for it is "partial 16S ribosomal RNA". It matches the Rfam family "Bacterial small subunit ribosomal RNA", at positions 338 to 795 of the family's 1533-position model. The record is from RNAcentral.